RNAcentral lists this transfer RNA (66 nucleotides) under Psychomyia pusilla. RNAcentral's name for it is "tRNA-Pro". Lineage: Eukaryota; Metazoa; Arthropoda; Insecta; Trichoptera; Psychomyiidae. The record is from RNAcentral.
CAAAAAAUAGUUUAAUUAAAAUAAUAAUUUUGGAGAUUAUUGAUAGUAUUCAUGUAUUUUUUUUGA